AAAUGAUUCACACUUUCACCUCUCCGCCUUCCAGCACCCUUUCAACCUCUCAUGGUGCCACGAUGCUCCUGGCCACCUAAGGUGGUUUUGUCAAGCCCUUGAGUCUUUUCUCAAUAAUCCUUCAGCUGUCAUAGCUAGUUGGUCGCCUGGAUAUACUGUUUUCCUCCCCAGAUUCCUCCCUCACUCCUUUAUCCUCACUUCCAACACCUCUGAGCUAGGCCCGGGGUCAAAACACCAUUAGUGACUCAGACAAGUCACUCAGCUGCUCUCAGCCUCAGCAUUAUUGACAACGUGGUGAUUUAUGACGCUUUCACAGGAGAGGGGCGUCUUCGGGUUUGUUUUUGUUUCUUCAACUCAACACAUACUUAAUGAGGAUGAACUGUGUGUCAGGUACUUUUCCAUUUCUGGGGACAGACCAGAAGACAAAACAAAGUUCCUGCUAUCUUGAAGUUUCCACCCUCCUGAGCGAAGAUGACAAUGAGUGAACAACUAAAAAGUACAUGGCUGGCAGUGAUAAAUGAAGCAGUGAUAAAUGCGACAAAGAGGAACUGGGACAGGGGGGCAGUGAUUAGGCUCUGCCAGCUCGUCCACUGUUUGGCUUACCUGCCUCCCAAAACUCUGCACGACUGGGUGGAAAAUGAAUCAUCAAUUUGACUGGUGGUUUCUUCAAAAUGUUGACUGCGCCCUUGAAACUGUGGUUCCGAAAACAAGUGAAUCUGUGAAAAAGUAAACAGAAACGCAUCAAAUUAUUUUCCUAAAAGCUGAAUGAGCUAAUGUAUUUGAAACGAUGACCACACAUGACCUGCUACCUCUUGUUACAGUAACUGGUGCGAAUUUAAUAAAUUCUUUAGUUUUCUA
This is a long non-coding RNA of Phacochoerus africanus (Common warthog), 858 nucleotides long. RefSeq lists it as uncharacterized. The transcript is spliced from 2 exons. NCBI's taxonomy places the organism in Eukaryota, Metazoa, Chordata, Mammalia, Artiodactyla, Suidae. The record is from RefSeq and is a predicted model, not a curated record.